UGUGUUAGUGGAAGCGUCUGGAAAGGCGCGCGAUACAGGGUGACAGCCCCGUACACAAAAAUGCACAUGCUGUGAGCUCGAUGAGUAGGGCGGGACACGUGGUAUCCUGUCUGAAUAUGGGGGGACCAUCCUCCAAGGCUAAAUACUCCUGACUGACCGAUAGUGAACCAGUACCGUGAGGGAAAGGCGAAAAGAACCCCGGCGAGGGGAGUGAAAAAGAACCUGAAACCGUGUACGUACAAGCAGUGGGAGCACGCUUCGGCGUGUGACUGCGUACCUUUUGUAUAAUGGGUCAGCGACUUAUAUUCUGUAGCAAGGUUAACCGAAUAGGGGAGCCGAAGGGAAACCGAGUCUUAACUGGGCGUUAAGUUGCAGGGUAUAGACCCGAAACCCGGUGAUCUAGCCAUGGGCAGGUUGAAGGUUGGGUAACACUAACUGGAGGACCGAACCGACUAAUGUUGAAAAAUUAGCGGAUGACUUGUGGCUGGGGGUGAAAGGCCAAUCAAACCGGGAGAUAGCUGGUUCUCCCCGAAAGCUAUUUAGGUAGCGCCUCGUGAAUUCAUCUCCGGGGGUAGAGCACUGUUUCGGCAAGGGGGUCAUCCCGACUUACCAACCCGAUGCAAACUGCGAAUACCGGAGAAUGUUAUCACGGGAGACACACGGCGGGUGCUAACGUCCGUCGUGAAGAGGGAAACAACCCAGACCGCCAGCUAAGGUCCCAAAGUCAUGGUUAAGUGGGAAACGAUGUGGGAAGGCCCAGACAGCCAGGAUGUUGGCUUAGAAGCAGCCAUCAUUUAAAGAAAGCGUAAUAGCUCACUGGUCGAGUCGGCCUGCGCGGAAGAUGUAACGGGGCUAAACCAUGCACCGAAGCUGCGGCAGCGACGCUGAUG
RNAcentral lists this ribosomal RNA (890 nucleotides) under Escherichia coli. RNAcentral describes it as "partial 23S ribosomal RNA". It matches the Rfam family "Bacterial large subunit ribosomal RNA", at positions 325 to 1220 of the family's 2925-position model. The record is from RNAcentral. Lineage: Bacteria; Pseudomonadati; Pseudomonadota; Gammaproteobacteria; Enterobacterales; Enterobacteriaceae.